RNAcentral lists this long non-coding RNA (1150 nucleotides) under Sorghum bicolor (sorghum). RNAcentral describes it as "long non-coding RNA (SBIC_LNC018117)". Lineage: Eukaryota; Viridiplantae; Streptophyta; Magnoliopsida; Poales; Poaceae. The record is from RNAcentral.
GCAGUCUGGUGCAAGUUACUAUGAGCUUCGUAAAAGUUUAACAUCUAGAUAUACAUUGCGUCUAAUAUAAAUACAUAGUAAGCAAUAUAAAUAAAUCUAGAAAAGCUAAAAACAAUUUACAAUUUGAAAAGGAGGGAGUAUGUCAAUUCUCAUUUUCUAAUAAUAUUACUGUGAAACAAAAAACUCUCGUCAUCCUUGUUUUUAGAAACAUUAGCAGCAUUCCCACUUUCUUUUCUUUUUUUUCUCGAUCGGACAUUGUGCCCAUUUUUCACCACUUUCAAAAAAAUGCAACACGGCCCUUUGCAUCACUACAAGAAGCGUUCUUUUUUUUUCUUUUACAGAGGCAGGCCGGCAGGCCGCAUGUGUCAAAUGGUCAUGUAAAGGUGGGCAACCCAGAAGGCUAUUUACAGAGACGAUUGGUCUAACUCCAAGCAUUCUGUAGUUUUAUGUAACACCCAAAAAUUUGCUUUUGAAUUAAUAGAAUUUAAUGAGAAUUAUUUAAGCAAUUUUUGUGAGCAUUUAAUCUAGUAAAUAAAAUAUUUUUUUGUCGAAAUUAAAAUUUAUCCUAAGAUUAGAAACUUGUUUAUGCAUUCAUGCUGAAGAAUAUUUUAUUUUGUAUUGUUUGCCUCUGGCUUGAAUUUAUUUGCAUUCAAAAUUUUAUUUGGAAAAGGUUUUAGGAAAAGAAAACAGAAAAGAAAUUUUAAAAAAAAAAAGCUUCCCCGGAUUCCAGCCCAGCCCCUUUUUCCCCUUUUGCGCUCGGCCCAGCGCGCGGCAUAGGAGCCGGCCCAGCUUUCCCCCCAGCAACCAGGCCGGCCCGCGCGCGCACUCUCCACUCUCCCUGACCGACGACCGGGACCCAGCGCCCUUUGGCUGACAGCUUGGGCCCGCGCGUCAGCGCCUUCUCCUUCCUCAACUCGCAUCCGAUGAGAACUCUUCCCCGGGGCCGAAUCAAUCCCGAAAUCUCGGGAUUUCCUUGCCCUUAUCGCGAAUCAAGACCCUAUAAAGCACCCCGCGAUGCCCCGCGUCGUGUUUUUCAUCUAAGUCGCGAAACCGAAUCCUAGCCGCCUUGAACUCGCUCCCGUCGAGGGAGAUAACCGCCGCCGCGCGCAACUGCUCCUCUCUGUGUCUUCUCAGCUCGAGCAAACCAUCC